Molecule: unclassified non-coding RNA, 217 nt
Filed under: plant metagenome
Description: partial contains small subunit ribosomal RNA, internal transcribed spacer 1, and 5.8S ribosomal RNA
Source: RNAcentral
UCUCCGUAGGUGAACCUGCGGAGGGAUCAUUACAAGUGACCCCGGUCUUACCACCGGGAUGUUCAUAACCCUUUUUUGUCCGACUCUGUUGCCGCCGGGGCGACCCUGCCUUCGGGCGGGGGCUCCGGGUGGACACUUCAAACUCUUGCGUAACUUUGCAGUCUGAGUAAACUCAAUUAAUAAAUUAAAACUUUUAACAACGGAUCUCUUGGUUCUG